This 811-nucleotide ribosomal RNA is filed under the name uncultured bacterium. Its description in RNAcentral is "bacterial SSU rRNA". It matches the Rfam family "Bacterial small subunit ribosomal RNA", at positions 8 to 807 of the family's 1533-position model. The record is from RNAcentral.
AGAGUUUGAUCCUGGCUCAGAUUGAACGCUGGCGGCAUGCUUUACACAUGCAAGUCGGACGGCAGCACAGAGAAGCUUGCUUCUUGGGUGGCGAGUGGCGAACGGGUGAGUAAUAUAUCGGAACGUACCGAGUAAUGGGGGAUUAACUAAUCGAAAGAUUAGCUAAUACCGCAUAUUCUCUGAGGAGGAAAGCAGGGGACCUUCGGGCCUUGCGUUAUUCGAGCGGCCGAUAUCUGAUUAGCUAGUUGGUGGGGUAAAGGCCUACCAAGGCGACGAUCAGUAGCGGGUCUGAGAGGAUGAUCCGCCACACUGGGACUGAGACACGGCCCAGACUCCUACGGGAGGCAGCAGUGGGGAAUUUUGGACAAUGGGCGCAAGCCUGAUCCAGCCAUGCCGCGUGUCUGAAGAAGGCCUUCGGGUUGUAAAGGACUUUUGUCAGGGAAGAAAAGGCUGUUGCUAAUAUCGACAGCUGAUGACGGUACCUGAAGAAUAAGCACCGGCUAACUACGUGCCAGCAGCCGCGGUAAUACGUAGGGUGCGAGCGUUAAUCGGAAUUACUGGGCGUAAAGCGAGCGCAGACGGUUACUUAAGCAGGAUGUGAAAUCCCCGGGCUCAACCUGGGAACUGCGUUCUGAACUGGGUGACUAGAGUGUGUCAGAGGGAGGUAGAAUUCCACGUGUAGCAGUGAAAUGCGUAGAGAUGUGGAGGAAUACCGAUGGCGAAGGCAGCCUCCUGGGAUAACACUGACGUUCAUGCUCGAAAGCGUGGGUAGCAAACAGGAUUAGAUACCCUGGUAGUCCACGCCCUAAAC